RNAcentral lists this ribosomal RNA (720 nucleotides) under Escherichia coli. Its description in RNAcentral is "partial 23S ribosomal RNA". It matches the Rfam family "Bacterial large subunit ribosomal RNA", at positions 419 to 1137 of the family's 2925-position model. The record is from RNAcentral. Lineage: Bacteria; Pseudomonadati; Pseudomonadota; Gammaproteobacteria; Enterobacterales; Enterobacteriaceae.
GGGACACGUGGUAUCCUGUCUGAAUAUGGGGGGACCAUCCUCCAAGGCUAAAUACUCCUGACUGACCGAUAGUGAACCAGUACCGUGAGGGAAAGGCGAAAAGAACCCCGGCGAGGGGAGUGAAAAAGAACCUGAAACCGUGUACGUACAAGCAGUGGGAGCACAGAGCAAUCUGUGUGACUGCGUACCUUUUGUAUAAUGGGUCAGCGACUUAUAUUCUGUAGCAAGGUUAACCGAAUAGGGGAGCCGAAGGGAAACCGAGUCUUAACUGGGCGUUAAGUUGCAGGGUAUAGACCCGAAACCCGGUGAUCUAGCCAUGGGCAGGUUGAAGGUUGGGUAACACUAACUGGAGGACCGAACCGACUAAUGUUGAAAAAUUAGCGGAUGACUUGUGGCUGGGGGUGAAAGGCCAAUCAAACCGGGAGAUAGCUGGUUCUCCCCGAAAGCUAUUUAGGUAGCGCCUCGUGAAUUCAUCUCCGGGGGUAGAGCACUGUUUCGGCAAGGGGGUCAUCCCGACUUACCAACCCGAUGCAAACUGCGAAUACCGGAGAAUGUUAUCACGGGAGACACACGGCGGGUGCUAACGUCCGUCGUGAAGAGGGAAACAACCCAGACCGCCAGCUAAGGUCCCAAAGUCAUGGUUAAGUGGGAAACGAUGUGGGAAGGCCCAGACAGCCAGGAUGUUGGCUUAGAAGCAGCCAUCAUUUAAAGAAAGCGUAA